RNAcentral lists this long non-coding RNA (549 nucleotides) under Trifolium pratense (red clover). RNAcentral's name for it is "long non-coding RNA (TPRA_LNC004467)". Lineage: Eukaryota; Viridiplantae; Streptophyta; Magnoliopsida; Fabales; Fabaceae. The record is from RNAcentral.
UACCACAUCUUAGAACAACCUAGGGAAAGGAUUCACCCUCUUCACAUGCAUAGAGGAGCUCUAUAAAGCAUAUAAUAAAGAAAAUAUCAGCAGAAGUGGUGUUGAAUUUAAUAUAGUGUGCUUUUCUUUGAAGUAGCAACUAAGAGACCCCAACAUGUUGGAUUUCGGUACUAAAACAUAAACAAAAAAGUACCGGAAUAUAUCUUUUAUAAGCAAAAAAUACGAACUUUUGUUGUCGUCAACCUCUGCCAAAAUCCAGAUUCUUUGGCCUUUUAUCUUCUCCCUCAUCACAAUUCCCAAAACAGUACUUCUGUGGUCAAUACCACUUUGCUUCCAUUUCAAUCUUUCUUUCCUGCAUGGAAUCGGAACAGAACGGCUUAUGGUGAUAAGAUAUAAAGUUUUACAAAUUCAAAUUUGCACAUCUUGCAGCAGUUGAGGUAUAUUCCAAAGCUUCUCCCAGCAGGGAAAACCGAUUGCCGGUUCCAGUACUUUAAAAUGAUGGUGACAUGGCCCAAUAACCAAGAGUGUGACCAAUAGUGUGUGUUAGAG